Heterocephalus glaber (naked mole-rat) is the source of this 572-nucleotide long non-coding RNA. The record is from Ensembl. Lineage: Eukaryota; Metazoa; Chordata; Mammalia; Rodentia; Bathyergidae.
CAAGAGGCGGCAGGCUGGAGCGAGGGACUCUGGUGCCGCUCACUCGACCCAUUUUCCCACUGGGCCCUGCAGAGGAGUUUCUGAAAGACUCAAAGUAAUGCCAAGAACUUCCAGGUGAAGGAGACCUUCAUAGACCUGUAACUGGAUUAGCCACUUCUUGAAUUGCAAGAGGAAGUUACAACUAAUUCUCAGGAUCAAAGUCAAAACAAGCCUGUGACUCCAUGAAUACUGAAGGCAACCACGGUAGAUCCCAGAGACCAAAGCCCCAGUGAGCAAGAGGGGCCAGCUUCUUCCCACCUCCGGCCACCAGCCUGUGCUGCCUACAUACGGCCUCCUCUGCUGUAGAACCCAUGGGGAAGCAGCGCACACAAUGGCGUGCGUGUUCCCGGCUUCUGGCUGCUCUGGGCACCCUCAAGGAAGCGUGGAGCAGGGAGGCCUCGAGCAACUUCGAGGCCUUGGUGCCUUCCCUUUGCCCCCCGGAACACUUGAGAGGCAGGAGCUAGGGUGGAGAUUUCUUACCCCACCCAACUUCCUCUUGCAAGUACCGCUGCAACUCUUCCCCAAGAAGAGAG